Molecule: small RNA, 162 nt
Filed under: human gut metagenome
Description: Clostridiales-1 RNA
Rfam family: Clostridiales-1 RNA
Source: RNAcentral
GAUGCCAGGGUCAAAAGCCUGAAACCACGAUGUGCUUGCACAGGAGUGGUUUUAUGGCUUAAUGACCCGCCCCAAUAUGAGCAUAAAAGUGGAGCGUAAGCUUCACGAUAUGCGAAUAUUGGAUAGAAUUGUGGGAGUACGAAGUACGGAACAAUUCGUAUG